This 124-nucleotide small RNA is filed under the name Marmota monax (woodchuck). Lineage: Eukaryota; Metazoa; Chordata; Mammalia; Rodentia; Sciuridae. The record is from RNAcentral.
GCCGGGUGCAGUGGCGCCUGCCUGUAAUCCCAGCGACUCCGGAGGCUGAGACAGGAGGAUUGAGAUUCAAAGUCAGCCUCAGCAAUGGCAAGGCACUAAGCAACUCAGUGAAACCCUGUCUCUA